GUGGGGAAUAUUGGACAAUGGGCGCAAGCCUGAUCCAGUCAUGCCGCGUGAGUGAUGAAGGCCUUAGGGUUGUAAAGCUCUUUCAGUGGGGACGAUAAUGACGGUACCCACAGAAGAAGCCCCGGCUAACUUCGUGCCAGCAGCCGCGGUAAUACGAAGGGGGCUAGCGUUGUUCGGAUUUACUGGGCGUAAAGCGCACGUAGGCGGAUCGUUAAGUCGGGGGUGAAAUCCUGGAGCUCAACUCCAGAACUGCCUUCGAUACUGGCGAUCUUGAGUCCGGAAGAGGUGAGUGGAACUCCUAGUGUAGAGGUGGAAUUCGUAGAUAUUAGGAAGAACACCAGUGGCGAAGGCGGCUCACUGGUCCGGUACUGACGCUGAGGUGCGAAAGCGUGGGGAGCAAACAGGAUUAGAAACCCGUGUAGUCC
Molecule: ribosomal RNA, 425 nt
Filed under: uncultured bacterium
Lineage: Bacteria
Description: partial 16S ribosomal RNA
Rfam family: Bacterial small subunit ribosomal RNA
Source: RNAcentral